Long non-coding RNA from Frieseomelitta varia, 1831 nucleotides. RefSeq lists it as uncharacterized. Lineage: Eukaryota; Metazoa; Arthropoda; Insecta; Hymenoptera; Apidae. The transcript has 3 exons. The record is from RefSeq and is a predicted model, not a curated record.
AGAGAGAGAGAGAUUGGGAGAGAGUGUAUGUGUGUAUGUGUCUGUGUGUAAGUGAGAGAGAGAGAGAGAAAGACAGAGAUAACGACGACACGGCGCAGGAAGAGGCAAGAGAACCAGUGACAUCGGGAGGGUCGGGUGUUCCUCGUGUAAAACCGCCACCGGAAUAUAUAUCGUGAGUGUGCGGCCGAAGAUUCGCGGAUAGAGGCCGGCCGAUAGUGCGUUCCGGGGUUUAAGAAGGGAAAAAAAGGCAAAGGCUCUCCCGGGUGAAAAGCAAUGCGGGUUCAUUGACUGCGUGCCGCGCAAUGGCCGCAUGCUCGUGGCCGAUGCACAGUGCAUGUGUGACAGGAGCUACGAGGAGGACGACGCCGAGGACGACGAGGCCGAAGAUACCGGCUACAGCCAACAUCGAACUCGAGACCUACUGAAAGUUAUUCCUCCUCUUCUUCUUCUUCCUCGGGUUUCUAGAUGAUCGAGAAACUCGCCUCGAUCACACCAGCGAUAACACCGAGGAACACUGGAAUUUUUCGUGCUUUUUACGUAAUCGGAGUCGAUCUUCGUGGAACUCUCUCGCAAAACACUCCGUUUCCAUUUGCAAGGAUACUCUCAAUUUAUCAAGAGUCGCGAACAAACGCUUAGUUUCGCAACGUUCUCACUCGAAUCUUGGCGAACUUUUCCAUCGUUUUAUCCAACACCGAAUUCGACGAUUCUACCAAAGACGCAAACUCUCUCGAAAAAGAAACCUCGUUGAAUUGUCGUUCGAGAAACGAUCGCUAAGUUGAACAAGUGCACUGAUCCACUCGAAACAGUGCACAGUGCGGAUCGGAAGAAGGAAAAUCAGCUUCUUAUCGAUCAAUUCGUCGUUCGAUUUCGAAAUUUUAUUCGGACUUAAUGCUCGCGACCAAGUGUCUAGACGGGAAAUUGUCACGGAGUCGCGGGAAUAGUUGGCGAAAAUGUUCGUUUGCUGACGAGAGGCAGCAGCAAACCGAUCGCGGUGGUGAAUCGUCGUCGAAGAUCGCGUUGGAAGACGUGUCGAGGUGGCGGGACUUAGGUGAGGAUAUUCCGUCGCGUUUGACGUCGUUGUCGUCGUCGUGGUGCGUUGUUCAGCCCGUGGUUCGGCAGUGAGAGAAAGAUAAGAGAGAGAGGCGGGCAGCUAUAACCGGCAACCACACGGUGGACAUGAUUAUUUCAAAGGAUCUGUUCCUCUUUGGCGACCAAGAUUACCUGCGCCUUCCCAGCAACGAGAAGCGCCAGCAACGGGCAAUGGGCCGACCGAUCAUCAAUGCUCCCAGGUAUUUCUAAGAGUUUCUUUUAUCGUUCGAAAGCCAUACCGAUCAACUCUAAAUGAUAAAAGUAAGUUACGAUUAUUCUACAAAUGUACAUACGUACAUAUAUUAUGAAAGUGUCAUGCGUUUUAGACAUAGGUAAUUAUGUUGGAACGAUGUUAAUUUGGAAAAUGUCGAGUUCAGCUUCCGAGAGAUUUGUAUCGAACCUUGACUAUUAGGCUAUUUUUACAAUUUUCGUCUCUUUUUAAACUUAACAUUUGAAGUUUAAUCAAAUUUUUGCGAGUCACUGAUAAAUUCAUCAUUAAUUCAGUCAUAAUAAAAUUUCUUCAAUAAUUCGUAGCCAAAAAAAAAAAAAAAAAAAAAAAAAAACAAUGCCUCGAUUUUCACAUUUAAUUUCAUGCUUUAGUUGCAACAAUUUUAAAUUGAUUAAUCAAUAAUCAAGUGCUGGUAACUCAUCUUAUCACAGAACCUAAAAAACUAAAAAAAAUUAAAAAAAAAACAAAUAUCACUGCUUGAAAAAAACGUAUCGACUUUCACAUUUAAUUUCA